CGCCUAUAGAAAUUACUCCUAUUAUAGGUCAAUCCUGCCCAGUGAAAUUCUUAAACGGCUGCGGUACCCUGACCGUACAAAGGUAGCAUAAUCAUUUGCCUCCUAAUUAGAGGCUAGUAUGAAUGGACAAACGAGAUUAUACCUGUCUCUAGUAUACCCCUAUAAAUUUAUCUACAGGUGAAGAAGCCUGUAUUAAAAUAAAAGACAAGAAGACCCUGUCGAGCUUUAAUCACAAAUAAACCUCCGUAAAAUCAUAAUAUACACUACUCUAUUGCUGAUUUUUGUUGGGGCGACAAUGGAAUAAAUUAACCCUCCAUCACAACUAAGACAUCAAGUCUUCCCAAAGAUCCUUAAAAGAUAUCCGGUACUAGCUACCGCAGGGAUAACAGACUAAUCCCUCUCAAGAGCCCAUAUCCACAGAGGGGUUUGGCACCUCGAUGUUGGCUUAGGAUUCCCUUAGAUGCAGAAGUCUAAAAUAGKAGGUUUGUUCAACCUUUAAUAUCCU
RNAcentral lists this ribosomal RNA (505 nucleotides) under Palola sp. AS-2005. RNAcentral describes it as "partial 16S ribosomal RNA". It matches the Rfam family "Bacterial large subunit ribosomal RNA", at positions 1816 to 2597 of the family's 2925-position model. The record is from RNAcentral. Lineage: Eukaryota; Metazoa; Annelida; Polychaeta; Eunicida; Eunicidae.